GACGAACGCUGGCGGCGUGCUUAACACAUGCAAGUCGAGCGGUAAGGCCCUUUCGGGGGUACACGAGCGGCGAACGGGUGAGUAACACGUGGGUGACCUGCCUCUAGCUCUGGGAUAAGCCUGGGAAGCUGGGUCUAAUACCGGAUAUGACCUCGCGGUGCAUGUUGCGGGGUGGAAAGCCUUGUGCGGCUAGGGAUGGGCCCGCGGCCUAUCAGCUUGUUGGUGGGGUGAUGGCCUACCAAGGCGACGACGGGUAGCCGGCCUGAGAGGGCGACCGGCCACACUGGGACUGAGACACGGCCCAGACUCCUACGGGAGGCAGCAGUGGGGAAUCUUGCGCAAUGGGCGAAAGCCUGACGCAGCGACGCCGCGUGAGGGAUGACGGCCUCGGUGUAAC
Molecule: ribosomal RNA, 397 nt
Filed under: uncultured bacterium
Lineage: Bacteria
Description: bacterial SSU rRNA
Rfam family: Bacterial small subunit ribosomal RNA
Source: RNAcentral